This is an RNA transcript of Mandrillus leucophaeus (drill), 832 nucleotides long. It is a transcript of the gene named G2/mitotic-specific cyclin-B2-like, with no coding region annotated. Lineage: Eukaryota; Metazoa; Chordata; Mammalia; Primates; Cercopithecidae. The transcript has a single exon. The record is from RefSeq and is a predicted model, not a curated record.
AUGCAUAGAGAGAGAGACACAGGAGUUAAUUCUAAACCUAAGAGUCAUGUGACUAUUAGGCAUACCAUUUUAGAAGAAAUUGGAAAUAGAGUUACAACCAGAGCAGCACAAGUAGUUAAGAAAGCUCAGAACACCAAAGUACCAGUUCAGCCCAGGGAAACAACAAAUGUCAACAAACAACUGAAACCUACUGCUUCUGUGAAACAGUACAGAUAGAAAUGUUGGUUCCAAACGGUCCUUCUCCCGUACCUGAGGAUGCCUCCAUGAAAGAAGAGAACAUCUGCCAAGCUUUUUCUGAUGCCUUGGUCUGCAAAAUUGAGGAUAUUGAUAAUGAAGAUUGGAAUAACCCUCAGCUCUGCAGUGACUACGUUAAGGAUAUCUAUCAGUACCUCAGGCAGCUGGAGAUUUUGCAGUUCAUAAAUCCACAUUUCUUAGAUGGAUGAGAUAUAAAUGGACAUAAGCGUACCAUCCUGGUAGACUGGCUGGUGCAAAUCCCCUCCAAGUUUAGGCUUCUUCAGGAGACUCUGUAUGUGUGUGUUGCCACGAUGGAUUGAUUUUUACUGGUUCAGCCAGUUUCCCAUAGGAAGCUUCAACUAGUUUGGAUUACUGCUCUGUUCUUGGCUUCCAAGUAUGAGGAGAUGUUUUCUCCAAAUAUUGAAGGCUUUGUUUACAUCACAGACAAUGCUUAUACUAUUUCCCAAAUCCAAGAAAUGGAAACUAAUUUUGAAAGAACCGAAAUUUCAGUUGGGUGGACCCUUGCCACUUCUUAAGGCAAGCAUCACAAGCCGGAAAGGCUGAUGUUGAACAGAACACUUUAGCCAAAUAUUUGAUG